This 495-nucleotide ribosomal RNA is filed under the name uncultured bacterium. Its description in RNAcentral is "bacterial SSU rRNA". It matches the Rfam family "Bacterial small subunit ribosomal RNA", at positions 30 to 525 of the family's 1533-position model. The record is from RNAcentral.
AUUGAACGCUGGCGGCAUGCCUUACACAUGCAAGUCGAACGGUAACAGGUUAAGCUGACGAGUGGCGAACGGGUGAGUAAUAUAUCGGAACGUGCCCAAUCGUGGGGGAUAACGCAGCGAAAGUUGUGCUAAUACCGCAUACGAUCUACGGAUGAAAGCGGGGGAUCGCAAGACCUCGCGCGUUUGGAGCGGCCGAUGGCAGAUUAGGUUGUUGGUGGGGUAAAGGCUUACCAAGCCUGCGAUCUGUAGCUGGUCUGAGAGGACGACCAGCCACACUGGGACUGAGACACGGCCCAGACUCCUACGGGAGGCAGCAGUGGGGAAUUUUGGACAAUGGGCGCAAGCCUGAUCCAGCCAUUCCGCGUGCAGGAUGAAGGCCCUCGGGUUGUAAACUGCUUUUGUACAGAACGAAAAGGUCCUGGUUAAUACCUGGGGCUCAUGACGGUACUGUAAGAAUGAGCACCGGCUAACUACGUGCCAGCAGCCGCGGUAAAG